GGCUCUGUAGUGAAGUUCAUAGUGAGUUGCAAGCUCAUUGAUGUGCAUUAAACAUGUACCGGAGUCU
RNAcentral lists this transfer RNA (67 nucleotides) under Sporophila nigricollis (yellow-bellied seedeater). RNAcentral describes it as "tRNA-Cys". The record is from RNAcentral. Lineage: Eukaryota; Metazoa; Chordata; Aves; Passeriformes; Thraupidae. RNAcentral also lists the same sequence under 1 other name.